Molecule: ribosomal RNA, 152 nt
Filed under: Australothrix lineae
Lineage: Eukaryota; Ciliophora; Spirotrichea; Urostylida; Hemicycliostylidae
Description: 5.8S ribosomal RNA
Rfam family: 5.8S ribosomal RNA
About the family: 5.8S ribosomal RNA (5.8S rRNA) is a component of the large subunit of the eukaryotic ribosome. It is transcribed by RNA polymerase I as part of the 45S precursor that also contains 18S and 28S rRNA.
Source: RNAcentral
ACCAAAUUCUCAACGAUGGAUAUCUUGGUUCCCAUAACGAUGAAGAACGCAGCGAAGUGCGAUAAGCAAUGCGAAUUGCAGAACCGUGAGUCAUCAGAUUUUUGAACGCAACUGGCGCCAGUUGGCUCUCCAGCUGGCAUGCUUGUUUCAGU